CAAAAAGUAAGGGUUAUUAUGUCAUUAACUUUUUUUUUUUUUAAUGACUAGAGAAAAUUCAAAAGAACCAUGGACUGACUGUGAAUUGAAAGAUCAGGAACCAGCCCCUGCUUUGCCACUAACAAAAUACAUGAUGCACUGAGAAGAAAAUAUCACUUCUAUGCUAUUCCUGCUCCAAGUGCAUCACCUGAUUCUAAUUAUCAGAAAACAGCAGACAAAUCCAAAUUGAGAGGCAUUCUGCAAAAUAACUGGUCUGUGUUCUUCAAGAAUGUUAAGGUCAAGAAAGACAAAGAAAGACUGAGGAAGUGUUCCAGAUUAAAAGAGAAGCAGAGAGAUGCGACAACUACAUGCAAAACAUAAAUAUGGGAUUUUUCUGUUGUUAUAAAGGACAUUAUUGGGACAAAUAGCAAAAUCUAAGUAAGGUCUGUGGAAUAGAUAAUAAUAUUGCAUCAAUCUUAAUUUGAUAAUUGUUUUUCAGUUAUUUAAGAAAAUAUCCUAUUUUUUCUUAUUUUUAAGAACCUCACACUGACGUAUUCAGGAGCAAAUGAUGGUUGUCAUGUCUGCAACUAUCUCACAUAGUUCAGAGAGAGAAUGAGUAUGUGUGGGUGACACAGAAAGGGAGAGAAAUAAAGUAAAGGUGUUAAAAUGUUAACAUUGAGGAAUCUGGAUAAAAGGUAUAUUAGAAUUAUUGUACUAUUCUUGUAACUCUCAUAUGUCUGGAAAGUAUAUUAAAAUAAAAAA
Molecule: non-coding RNA, 741 nt
Organism: Chlorocebus sabaeus (green monkey)
Lineage: Eukaryota; Metazoa; Chordata; Mammalia; Primates; Cercopithecidae
Source: RefSeq, a predicted model, not a curated record